This 71-nucleotide transfer RNA is filed under the name Triparma laevis. RNAcentral describes it as "tRNA-Gly". It matches the Rfam family "tRNA". Rfam says of the family: Transfer RNA (tRNA) molecules are approximately 80 nucleotides in length. The record is from RNAcentral. Lineage: Eukaryota; Bolidophyceae; Parmales; Triparmaceae.
GCAAGUAUCGAUUAAUGGUAAGUUCUCUGCCUUCCAAGCAGAAGAUAGGAGUUCGAUUCUCCUUAUUUGCA